UACAGAGGAGCCAAGCGUUGUCCGGAUUGACUGGGCGUAAAGCGCACGCAGGCGGAUGCGCGCGUGGGGUGUGAAGUCUGGCCGCUUAACGGCCAGGCGCCAUCCCAUACGGCGCGUCUGGAGUGAUGCAGAGGUCGAUGGAAUUGCCGGUGUAGUGGUGAAAUGCGUAGAGAUCGGCAGGAACACCCAGGGGGAAACCAGUCGACUGGGCAUCUACUGACGCUGAGGUGCGAGAGCGUGGGGAGCGAACCGG
This 253-nucleotide ribosomal RNA is filed under the name uncultured bacterium. RNAcentral's name for it is "partial 16S ribosomal RNA". It matches the Rfam family "Bacterial small subunit ribosomal RNA", at positions 524 to 776 of the family's 1533-position model. The record is from RNAcentral.